UACGAAGGGAGCUAGCGUUGUUCGGAAUCACUGGGCGUAAAGCGCACGUAGGCGGAUGUGUCAGUCAGGGGUGAAAUCCCGGAGCUCAACUUCGGAACUGCCCUUGAUACAGCACGUCUCGAGUCCGAGAGAGGUGAGUGGAAUUCCUAGUGUAGAGGUGAAAUUCGUAGAUAUUAGGAAGAACACCAGUGGCGAAGGCGGCUCACUGGCUCGGUACUGACGCUGAGGUGCGAAAGCGUGGGGAGCAAACAGG
This 253-nucleotide ribosomal RNA is filed under the name uncultured bacterium. RNAcentral's name for it is "partial 16S ribosomal RNA". It matches the Rfam family "Bacterial small subunit ribosomal RNA", at positions 524 to 776 of the family's 1533-position model. The record is from RNAcentral.